Molecule: non-coding RNA, 2406 nt
Organism: Tetranychus urticae (two-spotted spider mite)
Lineage: Eukaryota; Metazoa; Arthropoda; Arachnida; Trombidiformes; Tetranychidae
Source: RefSeq, a predicted model, not a curated record
UGUGUUACAAAGGCAAUUUAAAUUAACAAAAUUCAGGCCAUUCAAGAGUUUCAACAGAUUUAAUUUACAUGUUAACCAGGAUUUUUCAAUCUCCAUCUGUAUUAGUUAUCUGAUUCCUAUUAUUCAGUUGAAUCUGUGGUUGACUGAUCUAUUCCUUGAGAGUUAUUCUGUUAACUUUUAGCAAAUUAAUUUAAUUACUUUAACUUGAUAUGAUUUAUUUUGUUUGCAAUGAAUAAGACGAGUUGAUUAAUGUUGCAAUUAAAUCAGUGGAAAAAAAAUCUGGUUCAGAUUUGCGUUUGGAUUAGGCGCUUUUUUAUACUUCAACAUUCGUGGUAAGCGCCAAAGCUUAGCACAUGAUUUGGAUGAUUCAUUUUUGCUUCACGCUGGACAACAUUAAAUGCCAAGCCCAUGCGAUCAGAAUUUUGUGUUUGGGCGUUUUGAGGAAACGUGUAUUUCAAUGCUGCCUUUUACACUUUGCCUUUUGGAUUUUGGAUUUUAUUUUCAUCUACUUUAUAAGCUUUAGGCCAAACUUGGUUACGCAUCAUCAUUAUCAUCACUAUCAUUAACAUGAUACUUUGGCUAUUUUUUGCCAUUAUGUGGUUAUCCAAUUCUGAUUCUUUUUAAUCUGAACUUGAUCAUCUGUCGAUUUCCAGCCUUUGGUUUGUCUUACGAUUGAAAACAACUUUUGCUUUAGGAUCAGAUACACUUUUCCAGCUAUUUCGACUAAUAUACUUUUCUAUUUGUGCCCCGGAUAUUGAUAAUUUAUCAUUGAAAUCGAUAUUUCUCGUUAAAUCUCAUCGACACAUCAGUCAACAUGUCGGAAUCAUUUUGUCGGUUCAAGAGCUGCUCUUUGACGAAUCUCAGUUAAUGGAAAAAUAAUCAAAUGUAACUGUAUUUUUGAUCGCUUUUUACAUGAUACAAUAUUGGCCAAUAAUGAUCCAAUUGUAACAGUAACUUGUAUCAACAGUUACCAACAACAGUUGUAUCAACAAGCUUGAAAUUGCAUUCUCCACGUUAGUAGGUAAAAAUUUCAAGUUUAAUUGAAACAAAUUUCCGGAUGAUACUGGGGAUGAUCAGCAAUCCUAUUCUAGAAGUAAAAGGAGAGAAGAAAAAAAACAAAAAAUGCAAAACCGAAACAAAUCAAAUGAAAGACAAACAGCGAGAAAACAAUCUGAUUUACCAUUCAACUUCCGGAUAACUUGGCUAAGUACCUCAUCAGCAGUAGCAGAAACUGCAGCAGCAGCAAAAAAAUCAGAAUAUGAUGCAAAAAAGUGAGAGAAAGAAAAGAUUCGAUGAAGAUGGUAAUGUAGACAGACUGUAAAAUCCUUGAAAUUCCUACAAGUAACAUUGUGUAUGGGAAUGUAAGGUGCAAAAAAAUAGCACCAAAAAAUCAGUCAACAAGCAACCAUCAACCCAUCAUCAUCAAGAAAAAAAAGACUACAAAAUUUGAAGAAUAUAUGAUUAUGAACAAACAGAAGAGGAAUAAAGUUGAUGAAAAAGGUGUAACCACGCAUUUGAAUCAAUUGUCUUUUUUGCUUUUCAUGCAAAUUGGAUGCAAAGUGAAGGAAACAAAGAAGCUAAAUCCUUCCUGAAUAACACUUGAAUUGGUGAUUUUUGAUUGAAAGGUAACUUCACUCGAUUUUACAUGAAUAAACAAAAAGUACAUAACAUGAAAUGAUGAAAAUAAUCACAAUAAAAUAAGCACAUAAUAAGGUGAGACAUAAAACUGGCGAUUAAGAGAGGCUUGUCUUAAGCUUAAAACUAGCGGGAAAAUAUUGACAUGUGAUAUACCACGUUGCUGCAUUGAGACAGUUUCUUAUUUUUACCGGUUAAUCCAAUCUUUACUCUGGUUAUUAUAAUUGGCUUUUCUUAAUUUAUUGUGUUUAUUAUUUUAUUAUUAACAGUAUUUAGUGGAUAAAUAAUUUACUUGUUAAACUUGACUGCCCAAGGGUUAACCCAAUCAAUUACCAAAGAAAACCAGAAGAAACCAAGGAAAUUCUGAUUAAUAAGUUUGCGGCUUCAUUGAGUCAACUGAAAAUGCGUACUGAUUUUGCAGUUGCAAAAUGGUGACAAAUCUGCUAGAGCAAAUCAAUUAUCCAAUCAAACCAAAUUAAAGAUGAUUGUAUUGCUUGGUACACUUGAAAUCAAAAGACUAUUGAGGAUCACAAAGCUGGUAACAUACGUAAUCGCCAUGGAAUUGGUGAUGAGAUAAAUUACUAAAAUUGAGCCGAGUCCGGUUUAAAUCAUCACCAUAAUGAUCUAAUCAUUUUCGGACAAAACGUUAAAAAUAUCAAAUCUUGUUCAAUUAAUUAAGAUCACGAAAAAUUCCAAAUUAAUGUGGCUUACUUGGAAAACAUUAUGUCUACAUUGUUUGUUGCACUAUCUUAAUUUUAUUUUGUUUUGUGU